Non-coding RNA from Ailuropoda melanoleuca (giant panda), 73 nucleotides. NCBI's taxonomy places the organism in Eukaryota, Metazoa, Chordata, Mammalia, Carnivora, Ursidae. The record is from Rfam.
GCCUGGCUGGCUCAGUCGGUAGAGCGUGUGAUUCUUAAUCUCAGGAUUGUGAGUUCAAACCCCAUGUUGGGCA